RNAcentral lists this ribosomal RNA (970 nucleotides) under uncultured bacterium. RNAcentral describes it as "bacterial SSU rRNA". It matches the Rfam family "Bacterial small subunit ribosomal RNA". The record is from RNAcentral.
CGUUAAUUUCAGUAUUUUACUAGGGCGUUGAUGAAGGCUAGUCGUAUUUGAGUGUGAUGUGAAAGACCCCGGCUCAACCUCGGAAGUGCAUCGCUAACCGACAUAACUGAAGUAGGUGGAGAGGGUGGCGGAAUUUCCCUGUUGUAGCGGUGAAAUGCGUAGAGAUCGGAAGGGAACGUCAAUGGCGAAGGCAGCCACCUGGCACCAUACUGACGCUGAGGCGCGAAAGCGUGGGGAGCGAACAGGAUUAGAUACCCUGGUAGUCCACGCUGUAAACGAUGAGAACUAAAUGUUGGGGGGGGAGACCCCUCAGUAUUGAAGCUAACGCGAUAAGUUCUCCGCCUGGGAAGUACAGUCGCAAGACUGAAACUCAAAAGAAUUGACGGGGGCGCGCACAAGCGGUGGAGCAUGUGGUUUAAUUCGAUGCAACGCGAAGAACCUUACCUACCCUUGACAUCCUGCGAAUCUGGCUGAAAGGCUGGAGUGCCGCAAGGAGCGCAGAGACAGGUGCUGCAUGGCUGUCGUCAGCUCGUGUUGUGAGAUGUUGGGUUAAGUCCCGUAACGAGCGCAACCCUUGUCCUUAGUUGCCAUCAUUUAGUUGGGGACUCUAAGGAGACCGCCAGUGAUGAACUGGAGGAAGGCGGGGAGGACGUCAAGUCAUCAUGGCCUUUAUGGGUAGGGGUACACACGUGCUACAAUGGGGGGUACAGAGGGUCGCCAACCCGCGAGGGGGAGCCAAUCUCUUAAAGCGUCUCGUAGUCCGGAUCGGAGUCUGCAACUCGACUCCGUGAAGUCGGAAUCGCUAGUAAUCGCGAAUCAGCAUUGUCGCGGUGAAUACGUUCCCGGGCCUUGUACACACCGCCCGUCACGUCAUGGAAGUAGAUGGUACCAGAAGCAGAUAGUUUAUCCGCAAGGGGGACGUUUGCCACGGUAUGAUUUAUGACUGGGACGAAGUCGUAACAAGGUAACC